Long non-coding RNA from Mustela erminea (ermine), 547 nucleotides. RefSeq lists it as uncharacterized. Lineage: Eukaryota; Metazoa; Chordata; Mammalia; Carnivora; Mustelidae. The transcript has 4 exons. The record is from RefSeq and is a predicted model, not a curated record.
GGGAUCUGACCACAGUAGGAGUCUCACUGACCACAGUGCAGUUUGACUUCAACAGGACUGUAAUGAAGGGAGCCCCAAUAUUCUUUUGAACUUGGGCAGCCAAGUGCUUCAGCUUGAUUUCUCUAAGAUGAUCAUAUGAAUUUCAGCGCCCAGGUGGGAAUUGGCCUGGUAAAGGGUGGACCUCUUCAGUUGACUGAAGGCCUGAAGAAGACAAAAGACUAACUGUUCUGUGAAUCAGGAAUACAUUACUAGCUUAGCUCAGAGAUUCGGGCUUGAGGUCUCUCAUGAAGUUGCAGUCAAGACAUCUACUGGACCUAUGGACUUCUGACCUGGCUGGAGGAUCAGAUUCGAAAAAGGAUCAUUUGAAUGGAGGGCAAGCUGAUGCAGGCAGGAGGCUUCAUCUUUCCAUUGGACUGAUUGAAUGUCCUGAGUAAAUGAUGAAAAAAGAGCAAGGAUGGACAUAAACACAAUGUCUUUUAUUACCUAACCUCUGAAGUGGUACUCUCAUUUCUGCAAUAGCCUAUUUGUUGUGUGGGUUAUCCCUAGU